Molecule: long non-coding RNA, 362 nt
Filed under: Oryzias javanicus (javanese ricefish)
Lineage: Eukaryota; Metazoa; Chordata; Actinopteri; Beloniformes; Adrianichthyidae
Description: lncRNA (ENSOJAG00000006628.1)
Source: RNAcentral
GAAAAUUAGCUUUGUUACAGAGUCAUCCAUGACUCAGUUAUGCAUAAAGAUCUUUCUUAAAGUUGUAUUCUAAGUCAAAAUGCUGAAGCUGUAAUGACAUUUUCUUCUGUUUUCCCACAGAAAAGAAUAAGUCAAACAUUCAAAAAAUGGCUAUUGAGCAUCGUGUGGUCCUGGACGCGUGGGCACAGCCGCGGAACGAGAGGACUGGGAAAAGCCGGAGAUGCUGAAGCUGAAAGCUAGCUAAUAUAUUAGCCAAAACAGCUAGCAUGUAGCUAAAAAAUAGCUAAAAAAACAGCUGAACUUCAAAAUAGUAUAAAAAAAUGAAAAAAUUGCCAAUAAUCCAAAAAGCUAGCAGAAUGCCA